UUACCCUCAAGUGCUUUUCUGGUUAUGCACCUUAUGAAGCUGAAACUCUGGGCAUGGGGGUGGGGGUAGGGGGAACUUCAGAGGUUUAUCUGUGAAAAGAUGUGGCUGAGACGGUGCAACACAGAGGCUGACGUGGAGGCCAGGCGGUGUCUGUGCAGGGCUGGUGCCUGCUUUCCCAGGCACCAGGGGCGUGAUGAGAGCUUAGCUGAAAGGAGAGAAGACUCAGCAAGCACAUCACCUUGAAGCUGACCUGUCAGCCAGAUUUCGCAGCACCUGCCUGUUCCAGCCUGAGGGGCUGCGAUUCAUUCCUUGGGAAAGAGAGCUGCAAAUUCCCGCUCUAGGCCACAGUCCAAAUCCUUGCUCUUCUCUCUCAGGUUCUGGAAGACAGAAUGGAGGCAUCUACAGAGCAAGGACAUGUUUUCUACCUGAAUUAGCUUUUCUGACACCUUCAAACCAUCUCUAAGAAAUUGAUUUUUUAACAUACACAUAUACAGGUAAACAUUUAAAUCUGUGCCAUAAUGUAUUUGCACUUCGAGUCCCCCUGAAGUCCUAAGUCACAUGCUUCUCUUCCUAGGGGUUCUGUCUGAAGCAGAGACCCCUGGAUUGGAGCAGUGGGAAGAAUCCUGAUGAAUCAGGUGUUCCUGCCUGUUUACAUUAACUGGGCACCCUGCCUGCCCACCCCACAUGCUGAAUACUGCUGGGGAGAAGAGAAGAAACAUUUAUUAAAGGCAAGGAAAAAUUAGAGCCUUUUCAUUGAGGUCAGAAGAUUUUUGAGGUUGGAUCGGCUGGCCAGGUGCAUGACCAAUUUUCUUGGCUCCUUAGAAGCAGCAAAGUAUUUGAAAAAUAAUGGAGCCCUUCGUCCUACAAGUAAAAGCCCAUUUAUAUUGGGAAUUUUUUAAAAAGUGCUGGCGAUGGAAAAUUUCCGAUGAGAUGCAUUUCUUCCUGCCUGAAUGUCUUGAAUGCCUGCUGGAUUUGUCUCCCUGCUAAGACACUCACACUUGCAAAUCUGUGCUUUUCAAGGUGGGGAGAUGAAAAUAAAAAGUCUGUGAGAUGUAUUUCUGGGAGGCCUGAAAACAGGAAGCAAAUUGGAACCACAGCAUGUGGGGCACGGAUGCUGGAUUCUGGGGGAUAUUUGCUUAUUUGGAAAGGCUGCAAACAUUCCAUCCUACCCACUGCUAGGAGCUCUGCACUUUGCUAACGUCCCAUGGAAACCAAGGUUCUCUUUAGGACUCGACAGGACUGGGUUAUUUUUCUCAGCUUAAAUUGUUUUUAUAUGGUUAUCCUCAGUACUCUUUUCUGUUUUGGGAUAUUUUCAUACUUUUUAUUUUUUAAAAACCCCAGAAUAUCUUGAUUUUGAAAAGGUACAUUCACCCAAAUAAAGUGCCCAGCGCAUAGACAAGGCUGCCUCAAUAUUUCACGUGUCAACAGCCAAUGCCCCCAGUACGUGCAGAAAAGCCUGAGAACAAGGAAGGAAGAAAAGGGUCUGGUCCUUGCUCUGCGGGUAUUUAAGCAUUUCUCAGCCCCCUCCUCUGACUUCUCAACUAUGUUCACCUAUAUGGCCUCGAAUGGAGAGAACUGGGGUUAUAAAAGAG
This 1592-nucleotide long non-coding RNA is filed under the name Homo sapiens (human). RNAcentral describes it as "HSALNT0024300". The record is from RNAcentral. Lineage: Eukaryota; Metazoa; Chordata; Mammalia; Primates; Hominidae.